AACAGCCGUUAUUGCGGUCAGUACAGUGUGUGGAUCAAUAAUACUGGUUCUUUGUGUGAUAGGAUUCUAUUUUAUACAGAACAAGUAUCGGUAAGUAGUUACUAUAUCGUAGACCGAAACAAAAUGAAUCUAUUACAAUUACACGGCGUUCAAAAAUACCAUCGAACAAAUGCCUGAUUAAGGUAGCACUACGUACAGUUUUACAAUGAUUUUUUUAAGAUAUUUUUUUUAUCACAUAAUUUUGAAGUACAUGUAACUAUUAUUCUGCACAGUUUUUUUAGAAUCCAAAAAUAAUUAUCAUUUCACAACAGGGAGUAAAUUGAUAAUGAACUUAUGUAAAUAAAAGCACAAGGUAAUUAAUCUAAACACAUAGGCAUUCAGGAGGGGCUAAUAUGUCAAUCAUCUGUUGAUACCAGUGUCAAGCUGUUAAAUCACUGACCACAAGACAAAUAGUAUGGUCUUAUCUCAUUGUAUCAUUUUGCAACAAAAGCAAGGAGUAGGUCCGGUAAAUGCCGAUUUUGGCCUCAAAUUUCAUGUUCAUCUAACGAAAGAUUUCGGACACUUUUUAAACACUUAAGUGUCUUUUACAAUUGAUUCGAUUAAUUAAUGUGAAGGAUUUCAACUGAUUUAGUCAUUAAAAUCGCUCCGAUUCAAGCUUAAACAUGUUAAAUAUGAUAAAUCUAUCAAAUAUGCCAAAACACUUUUCAGAUGUUUGUUUUUGUCAAAAAUGAAAGUGGCCGCAUCCGUGUGUUCAUCCUCAACCUUUAUAUAUGUUAUGUAUUAUCAUAAAAUACAACUUACAUUUCAAUAUUAUGAAUGAUGCUAGUACCCGAUAUAUGUGCAUUGUAUUGUCACAAACAGUCCAUAUUUAUGUAGCAGAAGCAUUCUUCUUUCCAAUAAAUAGCUAAAAGAUUACAUAUUUUAACAAUUUUGUAAAACUGCUUUUUUGGGGGGCCAAAAAGUGGUCUUACUGAACCUACUCCUUUAUAUAACUGUGAAGUAAACAGAGAAAUGGGGAAAGUUAUUAAAAAGGAGAAAAUCCAAAGGGAAAAAUCUAACCAAAAAUGAACAAAACUAUAUAUAUAAGGAUAUUAAGAGUGUGAAAUUAUCUUUGAAAUCCUCUGACAAACUUUAAACUUUUAAGGUUUUUACUACAAACAAGAAGAAUAUGGCUCUGAAUCUGUCUUCUGUUAGGGGUUUUGGCACUUUAACCAAUUUUAAGUUUAUGUGAAAUUUUUCAAUUCCAUAAAACUCAAAAAUCAUGUGGGACAGUCUAUUUUCAUGAAGGGGAUGGUCUUUAUUAUUUUUUUUUUUUUUUUUGGAACAUGUCUUUUAUUGCAUAAUUUAAAUGUUCUAGCUAAUUUCAUAGUAUAUUUCUUUUUAAAAUACAAAUGAAAAUCAUUCUUUAUAGUGAUUAUAAUGAUGCUAAAUAUUGAUUAUAUGAAGCUGGUCUUUCCUGUUAUUCUCUUAUCUUAGACCGCCUGGAUAGAGGCGGAGCUUUUUCUAUAUUUAAUUACUACAUCACAGAUAUUGGUCAAAUCUGUGACGUCAAACUCCCGCCAAAUGCCAAUUUAGUGUUGGUCAGUGCACAUAUAAUUCAAAAUUUACAGUAUUAGAGCAUCAAAGACACAAAGUGUGUGGUUAUAUUGAAAAAAAUAUUGGUGUCAGAACCCUCCUGGGGUGUUCUCAGUGGAACUUUUGUAUUGAUGAUGCAUUUAUAGGGGUUCUAAGGGGGAAAUUCAGUUUUUAGGUCAUUUCUCAAAACAAUUUUUCAGGAGAAUUGUCAGCAAAAAAUGAAAAUAGAAACUUCAUUGGUACCCCUUUUGGUUUGACUUUGAUAUAUGUGAUAGAAGGGAGUAUUUUCUACAAUACCGUGUCCCAGUUUUUGGAUAAUUUGUUUCUAAAUGAAUUUAUAGGUGUCCAAAGAUGAAAGGUGAAAUAAGGUUUGGCAUCCAGCAGUUAAAUCAAUAUAUCAUCCUACUGGAGACAUGUAUCAAAAAUCUGAGACACGGUUUUGUUUAUAGUGUAUGAUUUAUUAAAGUGAUGAAAACAAAUUUUUACUACCAUUUAACCUGAGUGUGCCAUUUUCAUUCAAGUUGGAAGACCACUUUUUUUGGCAAUUAUGGAGCUAUAAUUUGAGAUUAAUCAUACCAAAAAUAAAUUUAUCUACAGAUUAUAAAGAAGAAUUAAUAUGUCAGCUUUAAAAUGAGUUAUUACCAAAUGAAUGUUAUUUCAACUGAUCGGACGGAGCCUAUUGCUUUAUUUGCAUAAGGACAGUCUACUUGAAGAUGUGUGUGAUAAGGAUGAUUGCCAUUAUAAUAAUUAUUGAUUUCUAAUCACCUAUCAGUGUCAUCAAAGGAAUUAACAAAAGAAUGACAGGACAUUUCAUUGAUGAGUUUAUUCUAAAGAUACCUAUCUAUAGAUGGACUUAUUUAUUAUGAGUGAACCGGUUAAACUCCGGCCAGUCAAAAUAAAUUGAAUAAUAAAUAUUUUAAAAAUCCAUUGAGUAGUUUUGGAGUUUUGGUUGGAGUCAGAAAAUUCUGACUUUAGUGCUACCUUAAAGGACAAGACGAAUAAAUUGCAAUUACCUGCUGCAAUAGCAGAAUUAAGCCAGUUUUUGUUGUUUGAUGUUCUCAUAUAAUGAUGUUUUGUUUGCAAAACAAAUGGAGUAAAGAUAUACCAGACCUACUAUUUGUCACACAAAACGCGGGUUUCUUUGGCGUUUAGCACAUCAUGUGCACUUGCAUCAAAAUUAUAGUCAUUAAUUUUACUUAUAAGAGUGCUGAAUGCUUACCGUAAAGAAGAUGAUAUGAUAUGUCCAUACUUUUUGCCUAUGAAUACGAAAAUAAAAAAUCUAUAUAUAAAUACGAUACACCAUUCUUCAGAUACAAAAUGUAUUCAUCAGACAUCUUUCGUUAGUUGCUUAUAUUUAUCACGAUUCAAUUACUAUUAUUUUUACAUGUUUGCUUUGAUCUUUUUGCUGGACUGCAAAUACUAUCAAAUUAGCUUAAUUUGUAGAAAUUGUCGUUUAAAUUAAGCGGAGGCUUUUAUUACUCAACCAUAAUUGCUUUAUGUUGUAUUUUACAAUGAUGUUAAUUUGUACAAAAUAUCUUUUUGGUUAAGGCCAAGUUGGUUAAUAGCUAUGUUUUCCAAAGAACUUUUUAUAAAAUGGUCACUUUGUCCAAAUAUUUCAGUUUCGAUAUGUUCACAACAUUAUAGACUAGUGACAUCUUAUGUUAACUUCGUGAACUAAUUUAUCCAUAUUAUAUCUACUUUUUCGUUUAUAGAAAAAAAUAGCGAGCUCUGAAAAGGCUUGCAUACUUCCAUUUAUUUUUUUCAGGCGACAAAAAUGCUCUUAUCUCUUAUCGUGUUUACUUUAUGAUUGGUAUAUAUCUUGUUUUUCAAUAUAUUGUUCUAUCCAUUUAAUUUGAAAACAAAAUAAAUAUGUAUGAGAAAAACUUAAAAUUUGUUUAAUUCAAAGGUCAUGUAAGGCGUGUAGUACAUCACUAAUCAAUUAAAAUUAAUCAACAAUAAAGGUUUGCGUAAUAAAACGAACAAAUCGUGGCUAAACAAACAACACUGAUAUUUAACUUAUGAAUUAUGCGUAUUUGCCAAAAAGGUGUUGUUCUGUCACUUGUUGAAUAUUUUUCUAAACUUGAAAUCAUGGUUUUAUAAUUUAGUUAUACUUUGAAAAUUAUAUUAACAAAAAUGUGAUUUUUAGAUCAUGUAUAUAAUAUCUAUAUCUUUAAAUUAGAAAAAGCGAUGACAGAUCAGCAGAUUAUGUCAACACGACACAGCAACAACAACUCUCGUUGUAUGAAGGAGUCGGUCAGACUUUGGAUGUUCACAACUAUGAACAAAUGGCUAGGACGGAACAUUUGUACAAUAAUACCAACUGACACAAUG
This 3906-nucleotide long non-coding RNA is filed under the name Mytilus galloprovincialis (Mediterranean mussel). Lineage: Eukaryota; Metazoa; Mollusca; Bivalvia; Mytilida; Mytilidae. The record is from RNAcentral.